This 472-nucleotide ribosomal RNA is filed under the name uncultured bacterium. RNAcentral describes it as "partial 16S ribosomal RNA". It matches the Rfam family "Bacterial small subunit ribosomal RNA", at positions 28 to 507 of the family's 1533-position model. The record is from RNAcentral.
GACGAACGCUGGCGGCGUGCCUAACACAUGCAAGUCGAACGCUGAAGCUUGGUGCUUGCACUGGGUGGAUGAGCGGCGAACGGGUGAGUAAUACGUGAGUAACCUGCCUUUGACUCUGGGAUAAGCCUGGGAAACUGGGUCUAAUACUGGAUAAGAUAUGUCACCGCAUGGUGCUGUGUGGAAAGGGUUUUACUGGUUUUGGAUGGGCUCACGGCCUAUCGGCUUGUUGGUGGGGUAAUGGCUCACCAAGGCGACGACGGGUAGCCGGCCUGAGAGGGUGGCCGGCCACACUGGGACUGAGACACGGCCCAGUCGCCAACGGUACGCAACGGUGGAGAGUAUUACACAAUGGGCGGAAGCCAGAUGCAACGACGCCGCGUGAGGGAAGACGUCCUUCUGGUUGUGAACCACUGUCAGCGCAAAAGAAGCGAAAGUGACGGUACGUGCAGAAGAAGCGCCGGCUAACUACGUG